Molecule: ribosomal RNA, 130 nt
Filed under: Aspergillus terreus
Lineage: Eukaryota; Fungi; Ascomycota; Eurotiomycetes; Eurotiales; Aspergillaceae
Description: partial 28S ribosomal RNA
Rfam family: Eukaryotic large subunit ribosomal RNA (bases 73-130)
Source: RNAcentral
CUUCGUCUUCCGCUCCGUAGGCCCGGCCGGCGCCCGCCGACGCAUUUAUUUGCAACUUGUUUUUUUCCAGGUUGACCUCGGAUCAGGUAGGGAUACCCGCUGAACUUAAGCAUAUCAAUAAGCGGAGAAA